Molecule: ribosomal RNA, 385 nt
Filed under: uncultured bacterium
Lineage: Bacteria
Description: bacterial SSU rRNA
Rfam family: Bacterial small subunit ribosomal RNA
Source: RNAcentral
UAUCUUCCCAUUGGUGAGGAAUAACACGAGGAAACUUGUGCUAAUACCUCAUAAGUCUUUACGGAGAAAGCUUUAUGCGCCGAUGGAUGAGCCUGCACUUGAUUAGUUUGUUGGUAGGGUAAUGGCCUACCAAGACAAUGAUCAAUAGCUGAUUUGAGAGGAUGAUCAGCCACAUUGGGACUGAGACACGGCCCAAACUCCUACGGGAGGCAGCAGUAGGGAAUCUUGCACAAUGGGGGAAACCCUGAUGCAGCGAUGCCGCGUGAGUGAAGAAGGCCUUUGGGUUGUAAAGCUCUUUCGUCGGGGAAGAAAAUGACUGUACCCGAAUAAGAAGGUCCGGCUAACUUCGUGCCAGCAGCCGCGGUAAUACGAAGGGACCUAGCGU